GCAAAAUCAGGAAUGACAUAACAUAUUGAACAUGUACAGCCACUCGAUAAAUCUCAUUUGCCAGUACAGAGCACUUCACACACCAUGUGCAGAAACUAGGUUGUUCUGAUUGAAAUAGAUCAACCUAUUUUGACUUCCUGUUUCCAUACUGAAUCAUAGAGCCAGCGAUCGUAUAGAGGUAUGCUCCUAAAGACGAAGAUGUUCACAUAUUAUGGCAAAUUGGUGGUACAUAAGACAAUUCAAUCAAUGAUUAGUUGGGAGUUCAGUCAUGGCUUCAAAAAUUCCCUCUUCUGGGGUCGUGAAAAAGCUCAUCUGCAAAGCAUCAAACGAGUCUUCGAUGAAAAGACCAGUUAUGAAAAUAUUAGGUAAUCUAUGAUUUGCAAGAAUAAUAUAACCGAUGGUCACCCGCUCACUUGCAACGUGCUGUGAGGGCACAAGUUCUUCGAUAGUCAAAUGUCCAUAUUUAUUAAUGAUUAGUCAUAUCAUGAAUUUCAUUUUGUGGCGUAUUAACUAGGACAGCUAUAGUCUAGGCUCUAUCUUACCAUUCUCAUCGUCCUCUCCACUUUGAGUUGUAAAGAACGGAGUGAGGUAGUUCCUAUCUAGUGCUGUAAAUGACGUGGUGCUGCAGGAAAGAACCCAGAACUUUAAAUUAAAGAACUUGAAUAUGAAUUUAUGUAAUAGUCCAACAACAUACAGCGUUUAUGGUACCUUUUGUGAAAUUCUUUAAGUCUCAUCUUGAAUCUGUUCCCAGAUGAUGAUUCUUCUCCUUCAUAUGAAGGAACUACAUAGCCAUUGUUCCCCUCAAACCUCUGGAACCAGUAAAGAAAACAAAUUUGGUUUGUCAAAUUAAAAAUAAUAAUUUUUUACAGGAUAACUUCAACACCAGUAAAAUUACUUCCCAAGGGAUCAGGGAUAAAGGUCAUCUUUUUUGUUGUUAGUUGGGUAGGACCCACACAAUUUAUAGGAAGCAGUAAAUUAUAUAAACUGAUUCACCAAUGCAUCAUCACCGGACUGCAGGCAGGUGGGCUAUAAGAUUAUCUACUAAUGAACUUACUUCACUCAAUGAGUUGUCAUGACCAUCACCGACAACUUGUAAAGCUUCUAGCAUGGUACCUGUUGAUCCUCCUAUCAGCAAGACCUGCAAAGUGUCCAUACUCCUAGACAUGUCAGACAUCUAAACGAACUUAAGAUUGUUCAUAUAUUCUACUAUGGGUCUUAGUGGCAACUUGGCCCUGCUCCAUUCGGUUUUUGUCAAUAUGUAAUUCUCUUGAAUAUAAUGGCUGUUAGACAAAGAAAUAUACAUGUAGGAAAAAUAGCACCACAUAAUCAUCAAAUUUCGGUCAGCAAUAACAAAUACAUAGGAUAAAUGGAUAUGGAAAAUCAUUCAUUCUUUUAUUACUAAAAGAAUGUGUCAUAUCUCACACCUUUGGGGCAUAAUAAGAAAAUGGAAAGAGAAAAAAGCAAAAAAAAAUCAAUUUAGAACUCUUGAUGCGAAGAGCUCAAUGAGUUAAUUAAAUAACUUUAUGCUUCUUCACUCUUGCUGUGCUUGACAGUUAUUACUCCGGUGUAAUUGGAUCAAAGCCCCCCUUAGGCUGCACUCUUUUACCUGAAAAUGAUGAACGAUAAUUGGAAAGGUUAUAAUUUUGUGAGAAGAUGAUCAUAACAUUCUGCAGCAGUUACCUUCCAACUUUUUUUUCUUCAUGGAUUGAGUUAAUUUUGAAAUGAUUCUUCGACAUCAAAGAGGUAAAAUGAACAAAAAUUAUUAAAGGAUAUGCUAAAUGAAAGAAGAAGAAACCAAAAUAAAAAAAUAGUAAACAAUACUUGGAGGAAAUAUGUCAAUGGAGAAUGAAGUUUCCUAAUAAGACGCUAUUGGUUGAGUCAUAGAUGGACAAACCUGUGCUGUAUAUUUCUUGGAUAGUAAGUCCCCACAUUCCUCAAUAAGGGCUCUUUCUCCACUAACCACCCGAGCUAGUUCAGAAAUUGAGGUAUCCACUUCUUCAGCCUGCAUUGAAGAUGUGCAUUUUUAACACAGGCAUGCAUUUAUAUCAUCUAUAUAAACACAAUACAUCUACAAUUGUAUGACUUCCUUUCACAUUUACAGGACCUGCCAACAAUUAAUAGAAAAAGAAAUCAAAAUAUUCUAAACAGUAUGAUUUCCUCAACAUUUGUGCAUUCUAUAGCGUGUUUUUAACAUAGAUAUCACGUGAAUUUAUGGGAUAAAUGCCUGGCAUUUUGUCUCACCUUUGGCAUAAGUCUCAGGACAUGGGAAACUAUCAGUUCCAUCACCUUUACAGCUGAGCUCAAAGCCUCCUGCAAGUCUUUCACUUCAACCUGGAAAAGUUACCCCAUAGUUUCACAGUUCUUUACAUAAAUUUAACAAAUAUGGAUAAAAUUUAUGCGAUUAGUUAGCAGAAUAUGUCUCACCUGGACCUCUCCACUGACUGGAACUCUUAGGGAGGAAUUUAAUAGAGCAUUUGAUAUGCCUGAUAAAGAAGUUAAAAAAUCCUCUUCCAAAGCAGACCAUGCAUCCAGAUACGGCAUCUAAUAUAAUAGCAAAGUACGUGAGCACCGAAGCCGAAAGAAUAAAAUUGUAAGAACAACAAAAAGUUCUCCGAACAACCGAAGUUCCUCUUUCAAAGGUGCAAAAACCAUUAAGAAGAUAACGAAUGCAACAAAAAUGACAACUCUGUUUUUUCUUUAAGUUUCUUGACCAUUUCAUGUCUCUUCUUAAUGAGGCCAUUCGAUUUUCUAAAAACGAGUGAUAACUGUAAUGACCAACAUAACAGGGACAAAAUAAUAGAAAAAAUCAAAAGGAAUAUCAAUCAUGUUAUUUGACAUCUGGGAUAUUCAAUUGAUGAAUGAGUAACAAACCAUCUUCCAAAUGCAAAUGACAUGGCUUGUUAAGGUAUUGUAAGGAUAUCUUUUCAACUACACAUUCUGCAGUGUUUAUACAUAUAAUUGAAAGUUGGCCUAUAAUUCAAUAGUAUAUCCAGGAAAGCUCUUAAAAGUGAAUAUCUUUUCAUGAUUGUCAUCUAGAAUAGAAACAUGCAUGUAUAAAAUAUUUCAUUUCAAGUCACAACAUAAGAUGAGCAAUAAACUCAAAGCCUGACCAAGCCUUACUUGAGCUUCAACAAUCAUGGAUAAAGUCUUAAUUCCUUGCAGCAUCCCAAGUUCACUACGCUUCUUUUUCACUUCAUCACGUAAAUCAGAUAUCUUGCUUCCCAUAGAGUAAAGUUUUAUCUGCACAUAAAUGGGGGGAAAAACAUGAUUUAUAAUUCAAUAUUAGACUAUUAAAAAGAGCAAGUCCUUUAUCCAUGCUGUUUCUUGUAAUGCAAAUUAAAGAGACAUUUUGAAGAAGAGUGAUGGAUUAUAGGACUAAAAUGAGGGAAUAAUCAGAAUUAUAAUACAGAUAUCCUAGAAUUUCAAAGGAGAAUGGAGAUAAACCUCAGCAUCCCUUUUUUGAGUAUUGACAGUUGCCUCUGCUUUUGCAUUGGCUAAUCGCCACUGCAGAUAAUGGUUGUAAAGCAUCUUGAGAGAAUGCACAUCUUCUUGAUGAUUAGAGACCUUCCUUCCUUUCCUUGCGUCCAUUCCCAGUCUCACACACGAUGCUGGAUGAGGAGGCAGGCAAAGACUUCCGCCCAUCUUUACAGACGAUGAAAAAUUCAGUGAGCGAGCACAAUCACUAGUGACUUUACCCUCAUUGUUAGAACUCCUCUCAGCAAGCCAUUUAUCCACAUCUGACACAGAAGAGCGCGUCUCAGGAAGACUCCGGGUCGCCUUGCUAGUCUGCAUAAACAGUGGAGAACUGGGGCACGAAGAACUACCUUGGCUACUAGCAGUACUGCAAGAAUCCGAAUCGUCAUAUCUAGAUGUUGAAAUUCUAGAAAGCUUUUUGUCCACAGUUUCUCUGUAAUUGUUGCUACCAGAAGUCGCUUCUUGCAAUAGCCUAGUGGCCGCCGUAACGGCCGUGCAUCCAUUAAUACUAAUAUUCAUCGGAUUGCCACGAUUACCACUAUGGGGAGUUUGCCUAUACCGCGAUGGGACAACCCGAUCGGUACCAAUCGCAAUCGGCGUGUCCGGCCUCGAAGAAAUUCUAACAACCGAUGCCGCUUGCUGCUGUUGAUUUUGUUCACCAUUUUCCUUAAAAUGCCUAAAUCGUUGCUGUUGCUGCUGUUUCUUUUGAACAGUAGCUACACUAUUUGUUGCUAACGAUCUAUUGUGUGAUACCGUCUGGGGUGGAACGAGCAGGGUGUCUAGGCUUCGAGUGGUUUCCGGUACUUGAUUCUCGUCGCGUGAUAAUUGCCUGCGGUGGACUGAUUUUGAUCGCGAAUUUUCAGAAGGUGUAGGGGUUGGGGUUGCGUUGGAAUGAAUCAAAGGUGACAUGAAUCGCGAACUGACUUCCCGCACCCUUGGCCGCCGUUGGGGUAGCGACGGAACUCCAACUUCCGCCGAUGCUUCGGCUGCACUUCCGGCAGUCGAUUCGGUCAUUUCUCUUCAACUUUGCCGGAUUUCGAGGGGAAGAUUACUCCAACGCCAACAAAGAUUAACGAUAAAAAAUUUGUAGCGAUCGGAUUCGAAAUGCCGACGGGAGAAAUGGAGAAGGGGGCAGGGGAUUUUCGUGUAAAGGAAAGGUUGAAAAACUAGCCGUUAUGGGUUUAGAAUUGUAUAUAUAUACGAGGAUGGGGACGUUAACGGAUCUUUUUCUCGGGUGGGCAGUGAUGUGGGUAAGACUGGAGAUUACAUCCGGGACCGGGUUAAUUAUGUGGUUAACGGAUAUACUGCUUUUAAAUGUAAUAUUAAUAGGCACCUUUGAACUUUUACCUCUCAAACUUUGUAAAAUAUAACAAAGUUAUCCUCAAUUAUUUUUCAAAAAUAAAUCUCCCUUGAAACAAUUAAAUAUUUAUUAACACAUAAAAAAAAUUAAAAAAAAAUUUGAUUUUAGAAAUUUUAUCUCUUCCAACCAAGUUCACCCGCACACGCUGUCAACACCCGAUUUUCUCUAAAUACCCAAUUAGAGGCAGCGAUAUGGAGCUAAUUUGCCUAGAAGAUGGAGCUGACCAAGUACUACAUAUCGACAAGGAGAUGGGAAUAUUUUGUUAAUAGUAUUACUAUCUAGCAUUUCAUUUUCCUUCACUCAGGUUCAUGUCGUAGCCGAGUCUCAUUAGAGUCGCCCUGUCAAGUCAACGAGUUCGGCUAUACACGUGAGGGCGUGUAAGACAAAAUUAAACAUCUUGCAUUGCAUUAUUCAUCUUAUUCUUUCAAGCCUUAAUGCAAAAGUUAAAAGCAAAGGACGAAACGAAUGAGAAUAGUUAAUUUGGCUCAAAGUGAAGCAAAAUCAGGAAUGACGUAACAUAUUGAACAUGUACAGCCACUCGAUAAAUCUCAUUUGCCAGUACAGAGCACUUCACACACCAUGUGCAGAAACUAGGUUGUUCUGAUUGAAAUAGAUCAACCUAUUUUGACUUCCUGUUUCCAUACUAAAUCAUAGAGCCAGCGAUCGUAUAGAGGUAUGCUCCUAAAGACGAAGAUGUUCACAUAUUAUGGCAAAUUGGUGGUACAUAAGACAAUUCAAUCAAUGAUUAGUUGGGAGUUCAGUCAUGGCUUCAAAAAUUCCCUCUUCUGGGGUCGUGAAAAAGCUCAUC
RNAcentral lists this long non-coding RNA (5642 nucleotides) under Olea europaea (common olive). Its description in RNAcentral is "long non-coding RNA (OEUR_LNC005022)". Lineage: Eukaryota; Viridiplantae; Streptophyta; Magnoliopsida; Lamiales; Oleaceae. The record is from RNAcentral.